This is a long non-coding RNA of Gadus morhua (Atlantic cod), 2524 nucleotides long. The record is from Ensembl. NCBI's taxonomy places the organism in Eukaryota, Metazoa, Chordata, Actinopteri, Gadiformes, Gadidae.
UAGACAUAUAGAGUCUGUCAAGAUCUCUGAACACACGCAGUGAAUCUCCCGUUUCCAGCUGAAAACAUUUGUUAACAUUCUUGAUCUCCAUCAAGACAGGCCGCAGAAAGUGCAUGUACAUGCUGUUUGAUUUGUCGCUGUACAUUUCGUUCAGAAUCCUGGCCGCAUAGCCGUGCUCUUCUUUGCCGGAAGCCAAACUGAAGUGUAGCGGGUAAAAGUUAGCAGCAGGUUGGAUAUUCGCCGGAUAUUCAGUUUUGCAAUCGGAUUCAUCGAGAAGCCCCUGACUGCAGCCCGCAGACGGAGCCCACAUGGAGGGGGCGGGCACUCAGUCCACAUGGAGGGGGCCGGCCCUCCGCCCACAUGGAGGGGGCGGGCACUCAGUCCACAUGGAGGGGGCCGGCACUCCGCCCACAUGGAGGGGGCGGAUACCGACUCGGAUCUCGGAUCUGACGCCACGCCCGUCCACAUCGAGGGGGCGGCCACUCAGUUCACAUUGAGGACUGGUCAAACAGCAUGUGCAGCAUCUGAUCCCGUUUCUGACCUGAAAUUACCUGAAAUUAGAGUGUGCCCGCCCGAGCUAGUGAUGCCUAAAACAUGCAAAGACACGUCAGUGUAAUUGUGAAUGGCGAGAGCCCUGAAAUACAGCUGGACAGCAGCGGUCUACAUCACUGCCCCUUCUGCAGAUACAAAGGGUCAAAAUGUGAUAUCGACCAUCACAUUAAAUGCCAUGCCUCGGUUAAAUACAGAGGUCUGCAGAGGAGCUUUCAGGAAGCAGGAAGAGAAGACGGGAGGAAAAAAAGCUACAGGAUAAAGAUCUCUGCACAAAAAGGGCUAGAGUUGCUCCAACAGCAUCCAGCUCUGAAGGAUCAGGUCAUGUAUAGACUGUUAAUCCAGGAAGAUUAUGUUGUCCUGAAGGACACAAUUCAGGCAGCAGCAUGGUGCCAGUUACAGUCCUUCAAGGACAGCGUUUCUCUCCCAGAGGUCAUUGGGAUGGAAGGUUGGGAGCAGAUGGCAGCAUCAACACAGCGCAAAUCCCAUGACGGCGGGGAUGAGGAAGAAACGUGGAAACCAUUCCAAUUCUCAUUCAGAUUACAUACUGACUAUGAACUGUUCUGUGUGGAGAUGAUGGACAGGAGAAACCUGAAGGUGUUUGCCUCUUUUGAGUCAAACACCUCUCCCCCUCCCCGUCCCCCUCCCCGUGACGCCUGCGCCACACGACUCCAAUGUAGUCUGAUGAUGCAGCAUAAUGGCGGCGCUUGGCAGCUAUGGCGGCGGUGACGGCGAUGUCGGGCGACAGAGCGUGAAGCAAGAGUGGCAUCCACCUCACUGAGGAAGGCGUCAGUGUGUUCCCCCUUUGUUGUUUGACUUUGUUUGUUCUACUCUUUAUUGAUUUAUCUUUUAUGUUAAUAGUUUACAAUCUAUUUUUUGUAGUUGUUAUUUUUUAAUUGUUUUGUUGAAUAAAAAGACAGUUGUUAGUGCUCCUGUGAUUGGUGUAACUUAAUGUGCUUCACACAUGUAGCUUUUCAUUAUGUCUAUUGAGGUACAUUUUUUGCCCUUAGAUGUGGUCACUUCGUUAUUCCUCACAUUACAUCUGUUAAGGUCAUACCUUUGGGUCCCAGUCUUCAUAGUUCCCCAAAUCUUAUUUUGGCUCUUACUGGGCCUGUAACUCACAGACAGACGGGUACAGGAGUUCGGACACGUUGCAUUGUUUACAGGCAAGGGUGGAUUACCGCACGGGCACACCGGGCACAUGCCCAGGGGCCCAAGGGCGGCCCUAAGCCAGAGCUUCUGUGUGAAGUCGCUGUUAGUAACUUUUAAUGUUGCAUUGUCAAAGCAAUCAGUAGAGAAAUACAAAAAUUCAAGCGAAAACGGCAAUAGUAGGGCUAUUAAUACUGAGUAAAAAAAAAAAAAAGAUCACUAGGGGGCACUGUUUCACUUAGUGAAUUUGAGACAGGUCACGAACAAGGCACUGUGAUUUAAACAUUGAGCAACGGCGAACGGUAGUAACGUGAACUCUUAAGUGGAACCUUAAUAGGUCCAUGAGUGGAACAGUUAAGCGAAAAAAAAAUAAACAAGAGAAUAUGUAUUUGCAAGUCGUUUAGGCUAUGCUUAACUUUAUAAUAGUUCCAUGGUACGCAGCAAGAAAGAUACCAAGUCACAAUACUCCCGUACCAUCUGUUUGUAUAGUUUAAUUAACAGCAUGGGCUCCCGCUAGCUUAACAUAGUAUUACCGUUUCUUGCAUUAACAAGAGCAGCAGAAAUCUGCUCAAUCGUCAGUGGUCGGAGUGCCCGCCCCCUCCAUGUGGACUGAGUGCCCGCCCCCUCCAUGUGGGCGGAGGGCCGGCCCCCUCCAUGUGGACUGAGUGCCCGCCCCCUCCAUGUGGGCUCCGUCUGCGGGCUGCAGUCAGGGGUACUUGGAUUCAUCCGGCUUAAUCAACACAAUUGCACUAUAUUACGGGUGUAGUAUGUUGAGGACAGUAUAGGACAGCUUAUCGACAAAGAAUCACACCGAAAUUAGUUGUUG